UUUACAUGUGUGCGGUGCCUUUUGGAAAGCCCUUAAGGAUGGGGGGCGCUGUUUGCCAGGGGAAACAAUCAUGAGAUUAGAGAGUUGAAUUUGGGCCCCACACCCAAACCUGGCCUCUGGGGAGGAGGAGAGGGCCUACAGGUUGAGUUGAUCACCAUUGGCCAAUGAUUUAAUCCAUCAUGCCUGCAUAAUGACCCAUCCAUAAAACCCCAGAAGGACGGGGUUCAGAGAGUUUCCUGGUGGCUGGACAUGUGGGGUGCUGGAAGGGUGACAUGUGCCCCAUCCCCCAGGCCUUGUCCUGUGUGUCUCUUCUACCUGGCUGUUCCUGAGUUGGGUCCUUUUAUAAUAAAUUGAUUACCUGUAAGUAAAUUGUUUUCCUGAGUCCUAUAAACCAUACUAGCAAAUGAUCAAACUUGAGGAGGGGGUUGUGGGGACCUCUGAUUUACCCUCCAGUUGGAUGGGUGAGAGCCUGGAUCUGUAAUUGUUGUUUGAAGUGGGGGCAAUCUUGUGGGAUGUAGCCCUUCAUCUGUGGGACCUGUUGCUGUCUCCAGGUACACAGUGGCAGAAUUGAAUUCAAUUGUAGGACACUCAGCUGGUGUCCUUACAAAACUGGAGAAUUGCUUGGUGUAGGAACACUGCACACAUUUGGUCACAGAAACGUUCUGUGUUGAGUGAUAGUAUAAAGGCAAUGAUUUUUCCUAUACAAGAGGUAAAGAGAGUAAUGUCUAUGAUGGUGUCUGCUCCUGUCCCAGUGCCUGGGGAGGGCAGGUGAUUCCAACCCAGCAAAGUCCCAGGAGUGGAGGGAGUUGGAAGCCAAGACCCACAUCCCUGGAUUUACAGACCCUCUGGGGUGUGUCCCUAGCUUGCCACCCACAGCGCAUCCACAUCCUCACACAUGGGAAACCCUAGGAUACAGCUGAGCUCCACUCUGAUCCCCAGGGGCGUUGGAAGGUCAUCAGGGCCAGAUGGGUACAAACCACCCAACUCUGCCAGAUUCUCAGAUUCGACAGACGGGUACAACCCACCCAACUCUGCCAGAUUCUCAGACUCAACUGGUCUCUCGAAAUAAGGAUGUAACAACGUGGGGGCAGUGGCGUAGCUCCUAACUGGCUAUGGCACCGAAAAGCUGAUGAAACUGCCUUUGCGAAAAUUAUGACAGUGAUAGAAAUCUUACAUAGCUGAUCCAUCUUGCUUCUAACCUCAUAAGCUGUCAUCCCUGGACAUAGGCCAAGCUAGCUACAGGAGGAAGUUAGUUUCUAGUGUAACUUUAAAACAAAGAUGAUAACAGUCCCUUGCCAAAACUAACCACCCCCUCCGUUGUGGGGACUGAAACUGUCUUUGUAAAACUAACCAAUUGGCCACCAGGUUAGAAUUAUGGUUCAGGGGCGGGUGCAGUGGCUCAUGCCUGUAAU
This 1412-nucleotide long non-coding RNA is filed under the name Homo sapiens (human). RNAcentral's name for it is "HSALNT0244946". The record is from RNAcentral. Lineage: Eukaryota; Metazoa; Chordata; Mammalia; Primates; Hominidae.